RNAcentral lists this long non-coding RNA (279 nucleotides) under Homo sapiens (human). Its description in RNAcentral is "non-protein coding lnc-AJAP1-3:1". Lineage: Eukaryota; Metazoa; Chordata; Mammalia; Primates; Hominidae. The record is from RNAcentral.
CAGCUGUAAGCAACAAGGCUGAAGUCUCUGCUGCUCCACAACCUACCUGCCAGUUUGGUCACAGGUAUCUCCCAAGAUACACAAUCACCUGGAGUGGAAGCUUCAGGACAACAGGGCUGGGAACCUGCGUGUUUCAGAUAAGAUACCUCUUGGAUACCUCUUGAUUCACUCUUCUUCCUGCCACUGUGGUGAGGAUCAUUGAGUCUUUGACCAGCUUUAUGCAGCUGAAAUGGAAGCAUCUAAAAUGGUGGCUUGAGCAGCCCUGGAGGACCACAGCAU